GCGCUGCGCGCCGCACCCAGCACCGCGCUUGGCUCAUUCAGCAUCAUCUGGCUCGGCUGCAAGAGUCUACGCGCUUGACGGAUUGAGCCAGCAUGCGGCACCCCAAUUCCCCAAAUAGCGCCUGUUCCCCGUUGACCUACCUGUUCUUCUUCGAUUAGGCUCACACCCCCGUUCGUGGCGAUGCUCCAAUCCUCCACCAGCGAUUUCCUGGUGCCAUCCAUUCCCUUGGGUCAAUCGUUGCCAUCAUACACCGUGAGCAACCGGGCAUCGUCGUCGCGGCUGCCAGUUCUUGCCGCUCGUGUCGCCCAGCCAUCCCCAUCCAGUCCAGCGGAAACAGGAUGCAGAGAUCGACAAGGAGACAAGCAGACGAGCAGGCCAGACUAGUCCCCGUUUUUUCUUGCUGCUGUAGCUUGAAACAAGAAUGCUUUCUUAUUUCGUAGGCCCUAGGCGUUGAGCAGUUGUGGAUGGUGAACCCUCUCAUGGAGCGAUGUCCUAGGAUCAGAAGUACUGUCAUCACCUGCGUUCUUUGGAAUAUCCGGAAAUGCAGGAAUGCAAAAGUUUUUAGGAGCGAAGAUGAGACAAACUUAAUGAUAUCCCGGAGAUGUAGAGAAGAUUUAUCUCUUUUGUCCAAUUGAUGCUCUUCCCUCCCGGAUAAGGCGAGACUAUUAGAGUGGGGUAAUUUUUUUUCCAAUGUAAAAUAGGCCUUGAUUGUUUUUGUUUCUGUCUAUUUCUGUCCCCUCAUCUUUUGCAUCUCUCUGUAAUCUGGUCAAUCUUGUAAAUAUUUAUCUCUUUUAAUAAAUAAUUCAGGAAAUCCGAUCAGGAUUGCUGUA
Molecule: long non-coding RNA, 830 nt
Organism: Panicum virgatum (switchgrass)
Lineage: Eukaryota; Viridiplantae; Streptophyta; Magnoliopsida; Poales; Poaceae
Exons: 4
Source: RefSeq, a predicted model, not a curated record